UCGGGAAUUUUGGACAAUGGGGGCAACCCUGAUCCAGCAAUGCCGCGUGAGUGAAGAAGGCCUUCGGGUUGUAAAGCUCUUUUGUCAGGGAAGAAACGGUAGUAGCGAAUAACUAUUACUAAUGACGGUACCUGAAGAAUAAGCACCGGCUAACUACGUGCCAGCAGCCGCGGUAAUACGUAGGGUGCAAGCGUUAAUCGGAAUUACUGGGCGUAAAGCGUGCGCAGGCGGUUGUGUAAGUCAGAUGUGAAAUCCCCGGGCUCAACCUGGGAAUUGCAUUUGAGACUGCACGGCUAGAGUGUGUCAGAGGGGGGUAGAAUUCCACGUGUAGCAGUGAAAUGCGUAGAUAUGUGGAGGAAUACCGAUGGCGAAGGCAGCCCCCUGGGAUAACACUGACGCUCAUGCACGAAAGCGUGGGGAGCAAACAGGAUUAGAUACCCCAGUAGUCCCUGAGCGGGCUGGCAAGGCGCAU
RNAcentral lists this ribosomal RNA (472 nucleotides) under uncultured bacterium. RNAcentral describes it as "bacterial SSU rRNA". It matches the Rfam family "Bacterial small subunit ribosomal RNA", at positions 355 to 825 of the family's 1533-position model. The record is from RNAcentral.